CACAAUCCUACUGUCCUCAAGCAAGAUCACCUCAGGACUGCAAAAUGACUGCUGCAGCACAAGUCAUUACAUCCAUGUUUCAGGAAGCCACGAAGGCCAGAAACAAAAUCAGACUGAACCAGCUAGGUCCAAGAUGGCGGGCAAAGUAGGCUAAAGUACCUGGUGUUUGGCAGAGAUGCUUCGCGGGCUGUACUUUGAGAGAUACACAGUGGUCAACCAUCCCAAACCAGCUCUGACGACCACGGGAACACGCCUGCGCAGAUGAAACCAGGGGGCUGUCCCAGCAUUACCUUCGCUUCAUUACCUUGCUAACAUCUCCGCCCAAAGCGGGGAUUUGUGCUCUGCUAGGCACAAUUUGUUCCACGUGCAAAGAAGCGUGGCAGACUGCGCAUGACCUGGCUGCCCCUGGAAAUCUCCGCCCCUUUCCUAGAGCCCUGAUGACCUUCUCCCUCCUAACCCUAAAAUUCCCUUACUCCCCUCUUUGGGGAGAAGGUGCUUCUAGAAUUUGAGCUUCCCUUCUCCAUUCUCUGGCCUUUGGGUAAAAGCCUGUUUUGCUUGCACCAAACUCAAUUUCAUUAUUGGGAGCUCGAAACUGAGUGGGAAAGAACUCCCUGUCUGAUAGGGGUUGGGGGAAGGGAGAGCUUAGGUUCAGCUAGGGCACCAAGAGUGGGGGGUCUCACGUCUAAUUCAGUAACAUUACCAUACUGCUUGUAUCCGUUUUCAACUGGCUUUUUUUUUUUUUCGGUACGUGGGCUUCUCACUGUUGUGGCCUCUCCCGUUGCGGAGCACAGGCUCCAGACACGCAGGCUCAGCGGCCAUGGCUCACGGGCCUAGCCGCUCCGCGGCAUGUGGGAUCUUCCCGGACCGGGACACGAACCCGUGUCCCCUGUAUCGGCAGGCGGACUCUCAACCACUGCGCCACCAGGGAAGUCCUCAACUGGCUUUUGAUUUUCACCUAACAGUGAGAUUUAUUGAUAUUAAUAAUGUAGAUCUAGUUCAUUCAUUUUAUCUGAUAGUAUUUUGUUGUAUGACAUUUUUAUAAUGAUAU
Lagenorhynchus albirostris (white-beaked dolphin) is the source of this 1048-nucleotide long non-coding RNA. RefSeq lists it as uncharacterized. The transcript has 3 exons. The record is from RefSeq and is a predicted model, not a curated record. Lineage: Eukaryota; Metazoa; Chordata; Mammalia; Artiodactyla; Delphinidae.